Molecule: non-coding RNA, 1703 nt
Organism: Salvia hispanica
Lineage: Eukaryota; Viridiplantae; Streptophyta; Magnoliopsida; Lamiales; Lamiaceae
Source: RefSeq, a predicted model, not a curated record
UCUUGCUGUUUUAAUCUACUUGUAGCAAAACACAAUAUUGUAUCGAAUCUGUAAUCUUCCUUAACACUUUUGGUAUUUGGGCAUUUUCUUUGGACUGAGUUUGGCUUUCCUGAAUGCAGUUUACCAAAUUUCUUUUCUGUUAUAUUUUGUUGGAUGGCUAUGUAGUUAGUGCUAAAUUAGGCCAAGCUCCUGCUGGAAAGGCUGCCUUAGGUGAAGCUACAAUGCUUGCUGCUCAAACUAUGGUUGUUGAAAAUAUGUAAAUUUGUCAUUAAUCAUUCGGGAAUGAGCAUUACCUGCUGUGGACAUUGUCUUGUGCAUUGACGGGGCUGCUGCUUUGUCCUGGUCAGUGGAGCCAUGGUAGUGAAACUCGGAUUGGACGUUAUUGCUAGAAUCAGAGGCUAUGCUGAUGCUGCACAGCCACCUGAGUUGUUUACAAUUGCUCCAGCCAUUGCGAUACCUAGAGCAAUCUCAAAAUCUGGGUUGAAAGCAUCUGACAUUGAUUUUUAUGAAAUCUAUGACGCCUUCUCUGUCAGAGUCCAUGUUGCAUUUAUAUGAUAUUAGAGUAUCCUUCUUUCUAGCUAAUCUAGAAAGUGUUUUAACUUCAUUUCCACAGGUUGUCGCUCUCUCAAAUCAGAGGUUGCUCAAUAUUGACCCUGUGAGUUUUUAUCUAAUCUAUGAUGAUAUCUGUCACAAUAUAGACACCCCUUCUUUGUCUUUUUUGCAUUUCUGUGCUGUUUAUUUGAUUCUAAUGCUACUGUUGGUCCUUGUUUAUUGUAUUCUUUCUCGAAACAUGAAUAAUAUUGCAUAAAUGUCAGCAAGUACAUUCAAUGACUAGAUAUUUGCUAGUUUCUUCACAUGGUAGAAAUUUAUUCUCUCAAUAUCCUAUCGCAUAAGCUAACACAGCUAAGAUAAUUGACUGGCAUGUGACAGAAGUGGGCAUACAACCCUGAUCCUUCCGAAGGAAGAGGGCUUCAAACAGGGGUAAGUUGAUUAUUAUCAGAACCCCAUUCAAAAGAAUCUGUAAUGCAAAAGAAUCCAAAUCUGUUACUGGCUUCUUGAUAAUGAUGCUUCUGGCGAUUGAGAUUGAUGUAAGGAGAUUGAACAGUGCAAUUGUUGCUAAAAUGAUGAACAUUGAUGAAGCUGCGCCAAAUUCCAUUAUCUCUUGCUCAAAUCUUUUAAUUACAUCACCGUCCACAUUCUUCCCAGUGAUUGCAAAAUCCAACUUUGCGAAGCCCAAGUACCUCAUGAUUGUUUGGCAGAAUCCAAAAAGAUAACUGGAAUAUCUGAAAGUUUCCUUCGGACCAUCGAGUGUGCUGAAUUAAUGUACCUAACAGCGUCACAGGAGCUACUCCCAAGAAUCCUUUCCUCCCUGGGUUAAAGUGGACUGAUCUCCAUCCCUUGCACUUUAUUGAUAAUCCAGUAACCACAUCUUCAACAGGACAUCCAUACUUCAACCCCAUCUUGAGAGCAUCUCGUUUGUGGAAACAGCAACUGCCAACGUAUAGUGGCCCUCCAUGUGCAUCCAUGGCUAGAAUCUCUACCUUCAGUUACCAGUAAAGCAUUCUGAUAAACUCUUCGUACUUGAAGAAUGGUGUGGUGGUUGCUUCUGCUUGCGCCCGAUUCCCAUUCACAGAGUCCUUUGUGAUGCUUCCUCAAAUGAUCAGGAACUCUCCCCAGCUUCAUGAUGUCAGUUAUUUGCGCCU